RNAcentral lists this ribosomal RNA (310 nucleotides) under uncultured cyanobacterium. RNAcentral describes it as "bacterial SSU rRNA". It matches the Rfam family "Bacterial small subunit ribosomal RNA", at positions 29 to 351 of the family's 1533-position model. Lineage: Bacteria; Bacillati; Cyanobacteriota. The record is from RNAcentral.
AACGAACGCUGGCGGCGUGCUUAACACAUGCAAGUCGAACGAGGUCGCAAGACCGAGUGGCGGACGGGUGAGUACAACAUAGGUAACCUGCCCUUUAGUGGGGGAUACCCAGCCGAAAGGUUGGCUAAUACCGCAUAUUGUCCCGGUUUGAAAUAACCGGGAUGAAAGAUUUAUCGCUAAAGGAUGGGCCUGUGGUCGAUUAGCUUGUUGGUGGGGUAAUGGCCUACCAAGGCGACGAUCGAUAGCUGGUCUGAGAGGAUGAUCAGCCACACUGGGACUGAGACACGGCCCAGACUCCUACGGGAGGCUG